GCUAUACAUGCAGUCGAGCGAACAGAUGAAGUGCUUGCACUUCUGACGUUAGCGGCGAACGGGUGAGUAACACGUAAGGAAUCUACCUAUAAGCGGGGGAUAACAUUCGGAAACGGGUGCUAAUACCGCAUAAUAUCUUCUUCCGCAUGGAAGAAGAUUGAAAGACGGCUCUGCUGUCACUUAUAGAUGACCUUGCGGUGCAUUAGUUAGUUGGUGGGGUAACGGCCUACCAAGACGAUGAUGCAUAGCCGACCUGAGAGGGUGAUCGGCCACAUUGGGACUGAGACACGGCCCAAACUCCUACGGGAGGCAGCAGUAGGGAAUCUUCCGCAAUGGGCGAAAGCCUGACGGAGCAAUGCCGCGUGAGUGAAGAAGGCCUUCGGGUCGUAAAACUCUGUUAUAAGAGAAGAACAAAUUGUAGAGUAACUGCUACAGUCUUGACGGUAUCUUAUCAGAAAGCCACGGCUAACUACGUGCCAGCAGCCGCGGUAAUACGUAGGUGGCAAGCGUUGUCCGGAUUUAUUGGGCGUAAAGGGAGCGCAGGUGGUUUCUUAAGUCUGAUGUGAAAGCCCACGGCUUAACCGUGGAGGGUCAUUGGAAACUGGGAAACUUGAGUACAGAAGAGGAAUGUGGAACUCCAUGUGUAGCGGUGGAAUGCGUAGAUAUAUGGAAGAACACCAGUGGCGAAGGCGACAUUCUGGUCUGUUACUGACACUGAGGCUCGAAAGCGUGGGGAGCAAACAGGAUUAGAUACCCUGGUAGUCCACGCCGUAAACGAUGAGUGCUAGGUGUUGGA
Molecule: ribosomal RNA, 796 nt
Filed under: Aerococcus sp. I26-CRBM-T3P21
Lineage: Bacteria; Bacillati; Bacillota; Bacilli; Lactobacillales; Aerococcaceae
Description: bacterial SSU rRNA
Rfam family: Bacterial small subunit ribosomal RNA
Source: RNAcentral